GCGAAAAGAACCCCGGCGAGGGGAGUGAAAAAGAACCUGAAACCGUGUACGUACAAGCAGUAGGAGCCUCUUUAUGGGGUGACUGCGUACCUUUUGUAUAAUGGGUCAGCGACUUAUAUUCUGUAGCAAGGUUAACCGCAUAGGGGAGCCGUAGGGAAACCGAGUCUUAACUGGGCGAAUGAGUUGCAGGGUAUAGACCCGAAACCCGGUGAUCUAUCCAUGGGCAGGUUGAAGGUUGGGUAACACUAACUGGAG
This 255-nucleotide ribosomal RNA is filed under the name Proteus mirabilis. RNAcentral's name for it is "partial 23S ribosomal RNA". It matches the Rfam family "Bacterial large subunit ribosomal RNA", at positions 514 to 771 of the family's 2925-position model. Lineage: Bacteria; Pseudomonadati; Pseudomonadota; Gammaproteobacteria; Enterobacterales; Morganellaceae. The record is from RNAcentral.